Molecule: ribosomal RNA, 382 nt
Filed under: uncultured eukaryote
Lineage: Eukaryota
Description: SSU rRNA
Rfam family: Eukaryotic small subunit ribosomal RNA
Source: RNAcentral
CAAUAGCGUAUAUUAAAGUUGUUGCAGUUAAAAAAGCUCGUAGUUGAACCUUGGGUCUGGCUGGCCGGUCCGCCUCACCGCGAGUACUGGUCCGGCUGGACCUUUCCUUCUGGGAAGCUCAUGCCUUGCACUGGCUGUGGGGAGGACCAGGACUUUUACUGUGAAAAAAUUAGAGUGUUCAAAGCAGGCCUUUGCUCGAAUACAUUAGCAUGGAAUAAUAGAAUAGGACGUGUGGUUCUAUUUUGUUGGUUUCUAGGACCGCCGUAAUGAUUAAUAGGGAUAGUCGGGGGGCGUCAGUAUUCAGCUGUCAGAGGUGAAAUUCUUGGAUUUGUUAAAGACGGACUACUGCGAAAAGCAUUCGCCAAGGAUGUUUUCAUUAAUC